This 254-nucleotide ribosomal RNA is filed under the name uncultured bacterium. RNAcentral's name for it is "partial 16S ribosomal RNA". It matches the Rfam family "Bacterial small subunit ribosomal RNA", at positions 524 to 776 of the family's 1533-position model. The record is from RNAcentral.
AACGUAGGACGCAAGCGUUAUCCGGAGUUACUGGGCGUAAAGGGCGCGUAGGCGGUCAGCACAAGUCAGUUGUGAAAUCUCCGAGCUUAACUCGGAAAGGUCAACUGAUACUGUGCGACUAGAGUGCGGAAGGGGCAACUGGAAUUCUUGGUGUAGCGGUGAAAUGCGUUGAUAUCAGGAGGAACACCGGCGGCGAAGGCGACGCUCUGGUCCAUUUCUGACGCUGAGGUGCGAAAGCCAGGGGAGCAAACGGG